GAAACGGGUGGUAAUGCCGGAUGCUCCAGUUGAUCGCAUGGUCUUCUGGGAAAGCUUUCGCGGUAUGGGAUGGGGUCGCGUCCUAUCAGCUUGACGGCGGGGUAACGGCCCACCGUGGCUUCGACGGGUAGCCGGCCUGAGAGGGCGACCGGCCACAUUGGGACUGAGAUACGGCCCAGACUCCUACGGGAGGCAGCAGUGGGGAAUAUUGCACAAUGGGCGCAAGCCUGAUGCAGCGACGCCGCGUGAGGGAUGGAGGCCUUCGGGUUGUAAACCUCUUUUAUCGGGGAGCAAGCGAGAGUGAGUUUACCCGUUGAAUAAGCACCGGCUAACUACGUGCCAGCAGCCGCGGUAAUACGUAGGGUGCAAGCGUUAUCCGGAAUUAUUGGGCGUAAAGGGCUCGUAGGCGGUUCGUCGCGUCCGGUGUGAAAGUCCAUCGCUUAACGGUGGAUCCGCGCCGGGUACGGGCGGGCUUGAGUGCGGUAGGGGAGACUGGAAUUCCCGGUGUAACGGUGGAAUGUGUAGAUAU
Molecule: ribosomal RNA, 529 nt
Filed under: Bifidobacterium longum subsp. suillum
Lineage: Bacteria; Bacillati; Actinomycetota; Actinomycetes; Bifidobacteriales; Bifidobacteriaceae
Description: bacterial SSU rRNA
Rfam family: Bacterial small subunit ribosomal RNA
Source: RNAcentral